UUUCCGUAGGUGUACCUGCGGAAGGAUCAUUAAAAAUGUGGUACCAUUAUUGGUACUAAUUAAUCAUCCUACCCUUUGUGAAUUUGUUUAUGAAUUUUUUAAAUGGGUCUUUCCCUAAGUUGGAUUGUAGUAAAAUACAAAAAGACUUAGGGGAAUGACUUUUUUAAAAGACUUUUUUUAAUUAAAACUUUUGUAUUCAUUUGUCUAAAAUUUAUUUUAUAAUAUAAAACAACUUUUGACAAUGGAUCUCUUGGUUCUCGCAACGAUGAAGAACGCAGCAAAAUGCGAUAAGUAGUGUGAAUUGCAGAUACGUGAAUCAUCGAAUCUUCGAACGCAUAUUGCACUUUUUAGUUUACUAAAAAGUAUGUCUGUUUGAGUAUCAGUAAAUAUUCUCACAACAUUAUGUUUGUGGUUAUGAGUGUUUUACAACGAUAAACAAGUUGUUUCACUUUAAAUUCUUUUUAAUUGAAUUUUACCAAUUCAUAAAUUAAAAUUGGAUAAAUUUUCCUUUAACGAGGAAUAACUAAACAAUUUUAAAUUUAUGGAUUAAUAACAUUCAACAAAGGAAUCUAUAUACAUAAAUAACUUGAUCUCAAUCAGAUAAGAGUACCGCUGAACUUAAGCAUAUCAAUAAGCGGAGGAAAAGAAACUAACAAGGAUUCCCUUAGUAACGGCGAGUGAAGCGGGAAGAGCUCAAAUUUGAAAUCUCAAGGUUUGACCUUGACGAAUUGUAGUUUAUAGAAGUGUUUUCUGUUGGAGUUUUGGUAAAAGUUCUUUGGAAUAGGACAUCAUAGAGGGUGAGAAUCCCGUAUUUGACCAUGACUUUCCAGCUGUGUGAUACACUUUCAAAGAGUCGGAUUGUUUGGAAUGCAGUCCAAAAUGGUGGUAAAUUUCAUCUAAAGCUAAAUAUUGGCGAGAGACCGAUAGCGAACAAGUACCGUGAGGGAAAGAUGAAAAGAACUUUGAAAAGAGAGUUAAACAGUACGUGAAAUUGUCAAAGGGAAGCGUUUGACACCAGUGUUGUUUUCUCGAAAUCAAUUUAAUGAGUUCUUGUUUUAAGUUAUUGUGACUUUAUCAGCGCAUUUCUUAUUUUACUUGACUCAUUGAAUGCACUUUUCGUUUAACAAGUCAACAUCAACUUCUUUGUGGUAAAAAGUUAAGGAAGGUGGCUUGGACUUCGGUUCAGUGUUUAUAGCCUUUUUCUAUGCCAUCGGAGAGAUUGAGGUCUGCAGCGUAGAUCCUUCGGGGUUAGAUACCUUUGUGCUAAGUUAUAGUUUUUUAUAGACAACUUGUUGACUAUAAUUAACCCUGUAAUUACUCGCUUAGGCUAUUUUACCUACGCUUAGGAUGUUG
This 1353-nucleotide unclassified non-coding RNA is filed under the name uncultured Neocallimastigales. RNAcentral describes it as "partial contains small subunit ribosomal RNA, internal transcribed spacer 1, 5.8S ribosomal RNA, internal transcribed spacer 2, and large subunit ribosomal RNA". The stretch from base 588 to 1353 matches the Rfam family "Eukaryotic large subunit ribosomal RNA", at positions 1 to 628 of the family's 3401-position model. The record is from RNAcentral. Lineage: Eukaryota; Fungi; Neocallimastigomycota; Neocallimastigomycetes; Neocallimastigales.